This 253-nucleotide ribosomal RNA is filed under the name uncultured bacterium. RNAcentral describes it as "partial 16S ribosomal RNA". It matches the Rfam family "Archaeal small subunit ribosomal RNA", at positions 474 to 727 of the family's 1478-position model. The record is from RNAcentral.
UACCCGCAGCACAAGUGGUGGUCAUUAUUAUUGGGCCUAAAGCGUCCGUAGCUGGCUUGUUAGAUGCCUGGGUAAAUCGAUGCGCUCAACGUAUCGAACUCCGGGUAGACCGGCAAGCUUGGGACCGGGAGAGGCGUGAGCUACUCGAGGGGUAGGGGUAAAAUCCUGUAAUCCUUCGGGGAGGACCAGUGGCGAAGGCGGCUUGCCAGAAUGCGCUCGACGGUGAGGGAUGAAAGCUGGGGGAGCAAACCGG